CUUUAAAUUUAAAGAAUUUGGCGGUAUUUUAGUCUAGUUAGAGGAACCUGUUUUAUAAAUUGAUACAACACGUAAUAUCUUACUAACUUUAUUAAGAGUUUGUAUACCGUCAUUAUUAGAUAAUUUUUAUAGAAUUAAUUAUUGAAAUUAAAAAGAUUAAGUAUAUUAGAUCAAGGUGCAGCUUAUAAGUUAGGGAGAAUGGGUUACAAUAAAAUUUAUUUAAACGAAUUGAUGUAUGAAGAUAAGUCAUGAAGGUGGAUUUAAUUGUAAUAAAAGUUCAAUAAGUUUUUAUGAUAUAAGCACUAAAUUAUGUACACAUACGCCCG
RNAcentral lists this ribosomal RNA (326 nucleotides) under Gramastacus sp. 2-DM-2003. Its description in RNAcentral is "partial 12S ribosomal RNA". Lineage: Eukaryota; Metazoa; Arthropoda; Malacostraca; Decapoda; Parastacidae. The record is from RNAcentral.